Pteronotus mesoamericanus is the source of this 107-nucleotide small nuclear RNA. NCBI's taxonomy places the organism in Eukaryota, Metazoa, Chordata, Mammalia, Chiroptera, Mormoopidae. The record is from RefSeq and is a predicted model, not a curated record.
GUGUUUGCUUCAAUACCACAUCUACUAAAAUCAGAACAAUACAGAGAAGAUUAGCAUGGUCCCUACACAAGGAUGACAUGUAAAUUCACGAAGUGUUUCAUAUUUUU